This 24-nucleotide non-coding RNA is filed under the name Arabidopsis thaliana (thale cress). Lineage: Eukaryota; Viridiplantae; Streptophyta; Magnoliopsida; Brassicales; Brassicaceae. The record is from RNAcentral.
CACCCAAUCAGAAGCAGCUACGUC